CCCCUAGACGUUCUGGGCUGCACGCGCGCUACAAUAAUACGCACAGCGAGUAUCACCGAGCUCGAAAGGGCAAGGUAAACAAUAGAAAAGGUACUGUAAUGGUUAUAGAUCCUUGUAAUUAUUGACCUUCAACGAGGAAUUCCUAGUAAGUAUGUGUCAUCAUCACGCACUGAUUACGUCCCUGCCCUUUGUACACACCGCCCGUCGCUCCUACCGAUUGGGUGAGCCGAUGAAACUCUCGGAUGUAGGCUAUUCAUAGCCCGCAGAAGAGAUUUGAAUCGUAGCGCUUAGAGGAAGGAGAAGUCGUAACA
This 311-nucleotide ribosomal RNA is filed under the name uncultured eukaryote. RNAcentral's name for it is "partial 18S ribosomal RNA". It matches the Rfam family "Eukaryotic small subunit ribosomal RNA", at positions 1470 to 1796 of the family's 1831-position model. The record is from RNAcentral.